This 278-nucleotide ribosomal RNA is filed under the name uncultured fungus. RNAcentral describes it as "partial 18S ribosomal RNA". It matches the Rfam family "Eukaryotic small subunit ribosomal RNA", at positions 548 to 833 of the family's 1831-position model. Lineage: Eukaryota; Fungi. The record is from RNAcentral.
UUGGAGGGCAAGUCUGGUGCCAGCAGCCGCGGUAAUUCCAGCUCCAAUAGCGUAUAUUAAAGUUGUUGCAGUUAAAAAGCUCGUAGUUGAACUUCAGACCUGGCCGGGCGGUCCGCCUAACGGUGUGUACUGUCUGGCUGGGCCUUACCUCUUGGUGAGCCGGCAUGCCCUUCACUGGGUGCGUCGGGGAACCAGGACCUUUACCUUGAGAAAUUAGAGUGUUCAAAGCAGGCUUACGCCGGAAUACAUUAGCAUGGAAUAAAUAAAAUAGGACGUGG